UGCCUGCAAGAAACCCACUUUGUAUAUAAAGAUAUCCAGGCUGAGUUUCCCUUACCCCAAAUGCUCACUACUGUCAGUUUAGAUUUUAAAGGCCAGGAGAGUGAUAAGAGCAGGGAAGAAAGGGAGGAAGAGAUUUAGGAGGCUGUGAAGGGAAGACAAGGAUUUGGGAAGAAGGUUCCAGCGUGACUUAGACCUGCUUAGACAUAGGAUUCCUGAGUUCACUCUGUCUUGUAACUCUCCUAUUCACAGGCUGAAACUAAAUCCCCAAAGGAGCUCCAGAAAGCUAUCAUUUAAAGUUAGGCCACUAAUUUCCUAUAACUAAGAGAUAAUUAUAAAAAGAAUUUGCUAACCUUCCCAGAAAAUACACCUUUAGCUAAAGUUAGUCUUGUAACCUAAGAGGGUAAUAAUUUGGGUAGGACACAGAUAGAACCAGAAAUAUCUCAGGCCAAAUCCUAUUCUUAAAUAACUAACUUCUAAG
RNAcentral lists this long non-coding RNA (478 nucleotides) under Pan troglodytes (chimpanzee). RNAcentral's name for it is "long non-coding RNA NONPTRT007860". The record is from RNAcentral. Lineage: Eukaryota; Metazoa; Chordata; Mammalia; Primates; Hominidae.